UACGUAGGCAGCGAGCGUUGUUCGGAGUUACUGGGCGUAAAGCGCGCGUAGGCGGUGGUCCAAGUCUGGUGUGAAAUCUCCCGGCUCAACUGGGAGGGUGCGCCGGAAACUGGGCCGCUGGAGUACGGGAGAGGCAAGCGGAAUUCCAGGUGUAGCGGUGAAAUGCGUAGAUAUCUGGAGGAACACCCGUGGUGCAGACGGCUUGCUGGACCGUGACUGACGCUGAGGCACGAAAGCGUGGGUAGCAAACAGG
Molecule: ribosomal RNA, 253 nt
Filed under: uncultured bacterium
Lineage: Bacteria
Description: partial 16S ribosomal RNA
Rfam family: Bacterial small subunit ribosomal RNA
Source: RNAcentral